CCUGUUUAAGUGUGUUUUCUGCAAAGUUGCCCCUGACACGUCGGCCAAGCCCAGGCUGCUACGAUUCCUUACACUAAAUCGUCGAGGGGGAUGCCACCCGACGUCUUCACUUUUACAAAACUUUGAAGCUUUCUCCGGCUCAUCACAGACUCCUGACUCAGUUUCUGAACACCGGUCUAGCCUACACAAGAAUGGCCCGGCCCCGGUUGCGACGAUGCAACUGUUCUGAACCAGCACCAGAACUGUUUGUGAUCGAGUUCAUGUCUUGCGGCUUCAGGAGGAACCUCACCUCGAUG
Molecule: long non-coding RNA, 296 nt
Organism: Labrus bergylta (ballan wrasse)
Lineage: Eukaryota; Metazoa; Chordata; Actinopteri; Labriformes; Labridae
Source: RefSeq, a predicted model, not a curated record